ACUGAAUUCGAAGAGACGAUUCCCAGUUCUGAUAUGGAGUGUGAAAAGGAGAGAAACGCUUGAAUUCCAUGUUAAUCUUUUAAAAUUGUGAUAAAAACACCCAGAAAGACAUUGGAAAGUGUGUAUACAUUGUUUGCUGCGCUGAAGAGAUGUUUAUGCUUUGACCAGGGGAUGUCAACUGAGAUAUCGAUUAUUCCAUGUAUAUAUUUGAUGUUGUUUUUUUAUACUAAACUUGAUCUUAAAAUGCCACUUUUAAUCUUUUUAUAUGGUUAUAAUACUUUCCCAAGUAAUUAGCAUUGUGAAUAUACAUGUACAUGUACAUUAUAUAUUUUUAAAGUUUAAAAAAAAAAGUCUUUUUAAAGUUAAGGCAUACAAUACAGUUACAGGG
This 388-nucleotide long non-coding RNA is filed under the name Mytilus galloprovincialis (Mediterranean mussel). Lineage: Eukaryota; Metazoa; Mollusca; Bivalvia; Mytilida; Mytilidae. The record is from RNAcentral.